CUGCGAUGCCGCGUGAGUGAAGAAGCCUUUGGGUUGUAAAGCUCUUUUGUAGGGGAAGAUAAUGACUGUACCCUAAGAAUAAGGUCCGGCUAACUUCGUGCCAGCAGCCGCGGUAAUACGAAGGGACCUAGCGUAGUUCGGAAUUACUGGGCGUAAAGCGCGCGUAGGCCGUUGAGUUAGUUAAUUGUGAAAUCCCAAAGCUUAACUUUGGAACUGCAAUUAAAACUGCUCGACUAGAGUUUGAUAGAGGAAAGCGGAAUACAUAGUGUAGAGGUGAAAUUCGUAGAUAUUAUGUAGAACACCAGUUGCGAAGGCGGCUUUCUGGGUCAACACUGACGCCGAGGCGCGAAAGUAUGGGUAGCAAAGAGGAUUAGAUACCCUCGUAGUCCAUACCAUAAACGAUGAUUGCUAGAUGUUGGAAAUUUAUUUUCAGUAUCGCAGCUAACGCAUUAAGCAAUCCGCCUGGGGAGUACGACCGCAAGGUUAAAACUCAAAUGAAUUGACGGGGACCCGCACAAGCGGUGGAGCAUGUGGUUUAAUUCGAAGAUACGCGCAGAACCUUACCAACCCUUGACAUGUCUGUCGCGAGUUUAGGAAACUAGACUUUUCGGUUCGGCCGGACAGAACACAGGUGCUGCAUGGCUGUCGUCAGCUCGUG
Molecule: ribosomal RNA, 658 nt
Filed under: uncultured bacterium
Lineage: Bacteria
Description: bacterial SSU rRNA
Rfam family: Bacterial small subunit ribosomal RNA
Source: RNAcentral